RNAcentral lists this transfer RNA (77 nucleotides) under Promethearchaeota archaeon. RNAcentral's name for it is "tRNA-Val". It matches the Rfam family "tRNA". Rfam says of the family: Transfer RNA (tRNA) molecules are approximately 80 nucleotides in length. Their secondary structure includes four short double-helical elements and three loops (D, anti-codon, and T loops). RNAcentral also lists the same sequence under 2 other names. The record is from RNAcentral. Lineage: Archaea; Promethearchaeati; Promethearchaeota.
GGGCCGAUAGUCUAGCUGGCUAUGAUACCGCGCUUACACCGCGGUGGUCGGGGGUUCGAGUCCCUCUCGGCCCACCA